This 1059-nucleotide long non-coding RNA is filed under the name Manacus vitellinus (golden-collared manakin). Its description in RNAcentral is "lncRNA (ENSMVIG00005016945.1)". Lineage: Eukaryota; Metazoa; Chordata; Aves; Passeriformes; Pipridae. The record is from RNAcentral.
UCAAGAUUAAAAACCCCUUAAAAUUCUUUCCUGCUCCACAAAUUGAUAUUAACCCAAUAAAAUUUCUGUUCACUUCAAAGUUCACAUGGACUUUGUAUAAAAUCCUGACCAAGACAAUACUGAAUUAAGAAGCUAAAUUUUCAAAGAAAGAGAAAACGUUAUCUAAAAAAUACAAUUUUUUACCGUGCUUGGAGACAGCAGAACACUGGCAGGCCCAAGAAAUGGUACCAAUCAGACAGAGACAGCCAGGCUGAAACCUGGACAUUUCCUUCAAUCUGUCCUCAGCUCUCUGAAACAGGGAGGCAGAAGGAUGGACACCAGAGUAAGCAAGACUGACUCCUUCAGCAUGAAUUUGUUCUUUAGACCACUUGUUUGCUCAACAGGUUUUGCAGCCUAUAGGUGCAUCAGCCUACACCCACAUCUCCAGAAGGCUACUUUCCCUCCCUCCUGUGUCCAAGCACCCCAGUUUCCUCCCAUAGAAGGGGUACAUUGGAGGGAUAUUGGAGUAGAAACUAAAAUGUACACACACACAGAGAGAGUACUUCAUGUACUAGAACCUCUUUUUCAGGUUACAUGGUUUAGACAAAUCUCGACAGCCUCUGCCAGAGAACCCCUGCAGCCUUCUGAGCAACCCAGUUCAGUGCUUCAGUUCAUCACGAAGCUUAAAGAUGGCUUGCCUUUAACUGUCUCUUGUUUAUAGCAGGAAACCCAAAGAGCACUCCCAGGAUCCUACAAGCAAUUGUUCUUGCCUAUUUGUAACUACUAUGAUGAACUAAGAUGGGACUUUCCACCCAUCUGGUCUAAUUUCCCGAAGAUUGCGUGCCUGCUGGGAUCAGUUGCCCCACCAAGUUGCCCUUUGCUGAAAGGUCCUGACAGAGAGAUGCACAAAAGAUAUUUAUGUGCAAAAUGACCUCUUUUUUUAUUUUUAUUUUUUUCAACUGUUUCCUUUUUCUAUGCCAUAAGUGAUCAUAAUUUAAAAAUGUAUUUUGCUAGUUACUGAGUGUGAUGUUCAAUGUGAACCUUCUGUGAAUAAAUUAGUUCAGAUCAUUUCUCUGAACA